Molecule: ribosomal RNA, 394 nt
Filed under: Aureococcus sp.
Lineage: Eukaryota; Pelagophyceae; Pelagomonadales; Pelagomonadaceae
Description: partial small subunit ribosomal RNA
Rfam family: Eukaryotic small subunit ribosomal RNA
Source: RNAcentral
AUUCCAGCUCCAAUAGCGUAUAUUAAUGUUGUUGCAGUUAAAAAGCUCGUAGUUGGAUUCCUGGCACGGGGUAGCCGGUCCGCCUUGCAAAAGGUGCGCACUGAGCGGCCUCGGCCAUCCUUGCGAUGGUCUAUCCUGGCAUUCAGUUGUCGGGGUGGGGAUUCGCGACGUUUACUGUGAAAAAAUCAGAGUGUUCAACGCAGGCUUACGCCUUGAAUACAUUAGCAUGGAAUAAUGAGAUAGGACCUUGGCGGUCUAUUUUGUUGGUUUGCACGCCGAGGUAAUGAUUAAAAGGGACGGUUGGGGUUCUACGUAUUCAAUUGUCAGAGGUGAAAUUCUUGGAUUUAUGGAAGACGAACUGCUGCGAAAGCGUCGAACAAGGACGUUCUCAUUA